Molecule: non-coding RNA, 221 nt
Filed under: Streptomyces acidiscabies
Lineage: Bacteria; Bacillati; Actinomycetota; Actinomycetes; Kitasatosporales; Streptomycetaceae
Source: RNAcentral
AAGCUGAUCGCCGCAGCCGGUUCGCCCCGUCAGCCAGACGGGCCGCGUCGCAAGAGGGAACCCGGUGGGAAUCCGGGACUGCCCCGCAGCGGUGAGCGGGAACGACCGCCGUCAUACGCACUGGGUCCGCACGGACCUGGGAAGCGACGGCCAGUAGGUGCCUCGUCUACGUACGAGGCGUGCCCGUGAGUCCGAAGACCUGCCGACUGCCCGUGCGUGAG